GAGAAUGUUAUCACGGGAGACACACGGCGGGUGCUAACGUCCGUCGUGAAGAGGGAAACAACCCAGACCGCCAGCUAAGGUCCCAAAGUCAUGGUUAAGUGGGAAACGAUGUGGGAAGGCCCAGACAGCCAGGAUGUUGGCUUAGAAGCAGCCAUCAUUUAAAGAAAGCGUAAUAGCUCACUGGUCGAGUCGGCCUGCGCGGAAGAUGUAACGGGGCUAAACCAUGCACCGAAGCUGCGGCAGCGAUGCUUAUGCGUUGUUGGGUAGGGGAGCGUUCUGUAAGCCUGCGAAGGUGUGCUGUGAGGCAUGCUGGAGGUAUCAGAAGUGCGAAUGCUGACAUAAGUAACGAUAAAGCGGGUGAAAAGCCCGCUCGCCGGAAGACCAAGGGUUCCUGUCCAACGUUAAUCGGGGCAGGGUGAGUCGACCCCUAAGGCGAGGCCGAAAGGCGUAGUCGAUGGGAAACAGGUUAAUAUUCCUGUACUUGGUGUUACUGCGAAGGGGGGACGGAGAAGGCUAUGUUGGCCGGGCGACGGUUGUCCCGGUUUAAGCGUGUAGGCUGGUUUUCCAGGCAAAUCCGGAAAAUCAAGGCUGAGGCGUGAUGACGAGGCACUACGGUGCUGAAGCAACAAAUGCCCUGCUUCCAGGAAAAGCCUCUAAGCAUCAGGUAACAUCAAAUCGUACCCCAAACCGACACAGGUGGUCAGGUAGAGAAUACCAAGGCGCUUGAGAGAACUCGGGUGAAGGAACUAGGCAAAAUGGUGCCGUAACUUCGGGAGAAGGCACGCUGAUAUGUAGGUGAAGUCCCUUGCGGAUGGAGCUGAAAUCAGUCGAAGAUACCAGCUGGCUGCAACUGUUUAUUAAAAACACAGCACUGUGCAAACACGAAAGUGGACGUAUACGGUGUGACGCCUGCCCGGUGCCGGAAGGUUAAUUGAUGGGGUCAGCGCAAGCGAAGCUCUUGAUCGAAGCCCCGGUAAACGGCGGCCGUAACUAUAACGGUCCUAAGGUAGCGAAAUUCCUUGUCGGGUAAGUUCCGACCUGCACGAAUGGCGUAAUGAUGGCCAGGCUGUCUCCACCCGAGACUCAGUGAAAUUGAACUCGCUGUGAAGAUGCAGUGUACCCGCGGCAAGACGGAAAGACCCCGUGAACCUUUACUAUAGCUUGACACUGAACAUUGAGCCUUGAUGUGUAGGAUAGGUGGGAGGCUUUGAAGUGUGGACGCCAGUCUGCAUGGAGCCGGCCUUGAAAUACCACCCUUUAAUGUUUGAUGUUCUAACGUGGACCCGUGAUCCGGGUUGCGGACAGUGUCUGGUGGGUAGUUUGACUGGGGCGGUCUCCUCCUAAAGAGUAACGGAGGAGCACGAAGGUUGGCUAAUCCUGGUCGGACAUCAGGAGGUUAGUGCAAUGGCAUAAGCCAGCUUGACUGCGAGCGUGACGGCGCGAGCAGGUGCGAA
Molecule: ribosomal RNA, 1454 nt
Filed under: Escherichia coli
Lineage: Bacteria; Pseudomonadati; Pseudomonadota; Gammaproteobacteria; Enterobacterales; Enterobacteriaceae
Description: partial 23S ribosomal RNA
Rfam family: Bacterial large subunit ribosomal RNA
Source: RNAcentral